UCACCCGGCGGCCGCCGGCCCUCGGGUUCGCUCGCCCGAGGACAGCUCUUCCAGGGGCGGGAGAGCCACCGCCGCUCCGUGCGCGCCCCGGACGCGCUCCUUCGCUCCUGGAGGGAUUCAUGGGCUUCCCUGGUGACUCAGAGGGGAAAGAAUCUGCCUACAUUGCAGAAAACCUGGGUUUGGUCCCUGGGUUGUGAAGAUCCCCUGGAAGAGGGCAUGGCAACCCACUCCAGGUCUCCUCAACAAUGUAGAAUACAGAAUACUGACAAGAGUAUUAGUAGUAAACUAAGAAGAACAGAGAAAUUGAAUUAAAAGUGAGAAAAUGGAGAGAGUCAAAAUGCACAGGAUGGUUGAAUGACAUCACUGACUCAAUGGGCAUGAGUUUGAGCAAGCUCCAGGAGAUGGUGAAGGACAAGGAAGCCUGGCAUGCUGAGGUCCAUGGACAUGAAUGAGUGACUGAACAACAAGAAGAUAUAGACUGAAUAGUAUCUUGAACCUGUCCUGUUCCAUUAUACCAUUUUACUACAAUGUGGCCAUGCUUAGAGUUGCUUUAAAAAAUAAAUUUUUCAUAUCAAGCCAUCAUUUGUAUAUCUUUAUGAAAGGAUGCAGACACAUUACCAUAAUUUGAACUUUCAUGAUUCUAGUCACUUAGAACCUGAAUAAAAUAGGAACAAACAGGGAUUAUUGCACCUUGUUGAAUUUCU
Dama dama (fallow deer) is the source of this 704-nucleotide long non-coding RNA. RefSeq lists it as uncharacterized. Lineage: Eukaryota; Metazoa; Chordata; Mammalia; Artiodactyla; Cervidae. The transcript is spliced from 4 exons. The record is from RefSeq and is a predicted model, not a curated record.